UCUAAUUAUCCGAUGUGAAAUCAUGACGAGAGAUGAGGAGUUUUGUUUUGAAACAACAUUUUGAACUGAGCCAUGCUGGUUGUGAAAAAGCGGACUUUUCAGAAGGAAA
Molecule: long non-coding RNA, 109 nt
Organism: Etheostoma spectabile (orangethroat darter)
Lineage: Eukaryota; Metazoa; Chordata; Actinopteri; Perciformes; Percidae
Exons: 3
Source: RefSeq, a predicted model, not a curated record